UACGUAGGGUGCAAGCGUUGUCCGGAAUUAUUGGGCGUAAAGGGCGCGUAGGCGGCCACGCACGUCCGUUGUGAAAUCGCCCGGCUCAACUGGGCGGGGUCAGCGGAUACGGUGUGGCUCGAGCAAGCUAGGGGGCAAUGGAACUCCCGGUGUAGUGGUGGAAUGCGUAGAUAUCGGGAAGAACACCAGUGGCGAAGGCGGUUGCCUGGAGCUUUGCUGACGCUGAUGCGCGAAAGCGUGGGGAGCGAUCCGG
RNAcentral lists this ribosomal RNA (253 nucleotides) under uncultured bacterium. Its description in RNAcentral is "partial 16S ribosomal RNA". It matches the Rfam family "Bacterial small subunit ribosomal RNA", at positions 524 to 776 of the family's 1533-position model. The record is from RNAcentral.